AAAGCUCUCUUCAUAAUAUAAACAGUUAAAAUAGAAAGCUUGCGUACCUGGAUUCACUCUUCAACUUACAUGCCAGAGGUGAUGUAUAUGGGUAGUCGUCGGUAGCUGUCCAUCGAUGGUGGAUAUGGGGGCGACGGUGAUCAGAAGUCACGGUGGAUGUGGUUGUCGGUGAAUAUGCGGGAAAAGGACGGUGGUCGUUGGCGGAGAAGAAGAUGAUGGGUUCACGGGAGUCGGUGGUCGUUGACAGGUGGGUAAUGUUUAAUCGGAAACAGGUAAGUGAUGUUGUGAUUGUGGUGGGGAUCGGACGGAGGAGAGAAAGGAGGUGAUUGGUUAUCAGCCGGCGGUACAGGUGGUCGGAGAUGGAUGUGGUGAAGGGUGGUCGGCCGACGGUGAUUAACAAUGGGGUAAUCGGAGGUUGACGGUGAUCCUAUGACACCCGGCACAGCAAAAAUCGACGGUGGUUAAACGAGCUCGUCGACAAUGGUCGACGGUGGUGAUGAAAGAAGGUGUCACAGUGAUCAGCAGUGGUAUAACAAAGAGGUGGUCAGUGUUUGCGAGUGAUGGUGGAUAAGUUGAUUGGCCGACAGUGGUAAGGGUGUUAGGAGUGGGAGUCGGCAAAGGUCGGCAAAAGAGUUUGCCACUCGGUAAACACCACCAUCAACAAUAGUUUACCACUCAAACUUUACCAAAUCGGUGGUGGGUGGACAAUUCGGUGAGGAGGGUGUGUGUGUGUUGGGGUGGGGUUCAUACAAUCUCUCAACCAAUCACACCCUUUUCCUUUUUUUUUUAAAGUUUACCAUUUUAGCAAGUGUCUAAACCAUUGCCAACACUUUUCAGCAAAGGUUAAACACUUUUCACUGAUUGACGUGGCACACUCUCAUUGAUUGAUUUUUUUAGUUUGCCACUCUCAAGUGUUUAACCACUCCUAACACCCUAAUGGUGUUUGGUAUUUGCCGGAAAUGGGGAAGAAGGUUGGUAGAGGGUGGUUGGUGGUCGAUGGAGGGUAAGCGACGAUGUUGACGUUGGUAGGUAUGGCUACCGGAGAAGAAGAAGAUAGGAGGAAAGGCUUUGAAUGAAAGUAAUGUGA
RNAcentral lists this long non-coding RNA (1087 nucleotides) under Helianthus annuus (common sunflower). RNAcentral's name for it is "hypothetical non coding rna". Lineage: Eukaryota; Viridiplantae; Streptophyta; Magnoliopsida; Asterales; Asteraceae. The record is from RNAcentral.